ACUUAAAUAACUUAUAUAUGUAGAGUAUUAUAUUGAAGAUAUAAAAGAAAUAAAUUUAUUUUUAAGUA
RNAcentral lists this transfer RNA (68 nucleotides) under Notidobia ciliaris. RNAcentral describes it as "tRNA-Phe". The record is from RNAcentral. Lineage: Eukaryota; Metazoa; Arthropoda; Insecta; Trichoptera; Sericostomatidae.